Long non-coding RNA from Lolium perenne, 1560 nucleotides. RefSeq lists it as uncharacterized. NCBI's taxonomy places the organism in Eukaryota, Viridiplantae, Streptophyta, Magnoliopsida, Poales, Poaceae. The record is from RefSeq and is a predicted model, not a curated record.
AGAACGUGAGUCCUCCAGCAAGCGUUGGGUGCCAUUUACAGUGUUCCUCCUAGCGUGAGGAGGCAAAGGGAUCAGCAUAGGCCGGGUUUUCCACAUCAUUUGUAUUAAAAUGAACAGAUUUACUUUCUACUUGAAAAGAUAAGCAAAGAAACUCUCACGCUCAACGAUUCCCCGAGGCCUCCGAUUCAGCGAGGACAGAUGGUUGCAGAGCAUCGGCAGUGUGGCUACAUGGUGGACGAGGCAUCGCUGGUUUGGUUAAAAGGAGCCGACAAGGAAUUGGAGAAGAAGGCACUUAACCGAGCAUAAUACACAUCUUAUAUAUAGCAUAAUUUUAUCCAGGUAUGUUCCAUCUUUUUUGCCACCAUCAUUCAGGAGAGACACAGAAAGAGAAGGAAGAUGAGCGGCCAAAGGAAAAGGAAAAAAGGGAAGCCAAUGCAAUAGAUAAUGUCAUGGAGGAACUGAGGUUGGAGAAAGAGCUUCGAGAAAAGAACGUGGAAGCCGGCACGGUGACGCCUCCAUGAUGGGUAUUCGUAUAUGCGACUUUCGGUUCAUUCCACUAGACAUCAUAUGAAAUAAAUCAGAUGGCAAUUUUGAUUAUAUCGUUAGAUUCAGUGUGCUAUAAUAUUCUCUUGGUUGACUAGAAUGUUAGGAAAUCUAUCAUGGCUGGCAAACUUCUAGAAAUUGUUUUAAAUAGGUUUCUAGCUGACGGGAUAAAUUUGUGAUUGCUUCCCAUAUUUCUUUCUCAGAAUUCUUGUAGUUUGUCCUUGUAUAUGGUAUACUGAUGCUUGGAACUUUUACCUGCAUCACUCUAGCCAGUUUGAUGAAUUAACAGAUGAAUCUGAUUCCAGUGAGAGGUUACCAGGUUCAUUUGGAGACAUCGAUCCUCAAACCACAAACUUAUAUGUUGGCACUCUCUCUCCUAAGGUGUUGUACGACUAUGAGUUGAAGAUUGGGUGGGUCAAAUAUGUUGCUCUUCCAUCACAAGUACUGCCUGGUCCUCCUCCAGGACAUAUGGCAAUCAGAAGCAAGGAGGAGAUGAAAGAGAAAAAAAAAUCAAGAAGUAAAUUCCUCCAUGAACUAAAUAGUAGUCAGUAACCGCAGAUUCUUUCCGUGAUGCUAGAAAGAGACAAGAAAAUAACAAAAAGGUGCUCAUGCCUAGGUUUGUCAUGCUGACCUACUGCCCUGUUGCUAUCAGCCGCUUGGUUUGACCCUCUCACCAGUCCAGGCAAUGGUGGCAAGGUGGAUGGAGGACGUGGUGCGAGUGCGACGUUCUUUGAGGCAGAAGUGGCAGGAGCCUAAGUAGUUCCCGAAGAGGGUAAUGAUUCUUCUCCUUUGCUUUUGGCGUCAUCCUUUCCCAAUACUUGUCUCUUUUGCGUCAGCACAGGGCGAAGAACCCAUGGAGGCUUAUUUUAUAUUCAUUUCAAUCUUGGUCUGCUAGAAGUCUGUAACUGCUUAAUAAGUUCUUCCCUUUUUGCAUUCUUUUUUCAUGUUUGUAUUACUGUUUGGUCUCUGCUAAUUUACCAUGUUAGUUGUUUAUGGCCUGGUUUGGUUUUGCUUGAA